GGGGGCGGCGACGCCCCCCGACCAGGACCGGAGCAAUCCGGUCUGUCGCCCCCGCGCCUCAUUCUCGAUGAUGCCACUUCAAGGCGGCCCGCAAGGGCCGCCU
Molecule: small RNA, 103 nt
Filed under: Brevundimonas variabilis
Lineage: Bacteria; Pseudomonadati; Pseudomonadota; Alphaproteobacteria; Caulobacterales; Caulobacteraceae
Description: Cauldobacter sRNA CC3552
Rfam family: Cauldobacter sRNA CC3552
Source: Rfam by way of RNAcentral